UAUUAUUAUGUAUGAAGGAGAGUAUAAGAUAGGAGAAACUUGUCAUCUCCCAAGAGACGUGAAGGCAUUGUGGAUUCGAGAUUAUGGGGGGACGUGGAAUAUAUCCAGUUUUACGGGACUUGAAGAGCUGGAGGAGCUAUGGAUUACAGGGGGCGAUGAGCUGUCAGCACUGGGUGGGAGUGGGGGACAGCCAGAAGAGCCAGAGAGACAGUUGGAGGAACGAACUUCUCCACCACCACCAGGAGACCACUGCCCCAAUCUCAAGGUGCUACAUAUCUCUGGAUGUCGAAAAUUGAAGCAUCUGUUGGUGCCCAGACACAGCUGCAAUCUGUACCUUAAGAAACUAGAAAAGCUCAAGAUAUACGGCUGCGUGGAGCUGGAGAGUAUAAUAGGAGCAGCAACAGACGAAGAAGAAUCACUGACAUCAUCAACAUCACCACUGCCCCCGACGCUUUCUCCCAACUCCAAUCAAUUGAAAUCGAGAGCUGCCCAAAGAUGAAGAGGGUGCUAACUCUUGAGUUAUUCAUGCUCCUCCCCAACCUCCAGACUAUCAGUGUUGAUGAUUGCGAGGAGAUGAAGGAGGUGAUAGGCGGCCAAGAGUUAGACCACGGAGUCACCAGUAGCUUGUUCUUGUCCCCCAUUCCAGCAGCAUCUCCUGAUGAUCAAUUAAGUACAAGAAAGCUGACCUUGGAGUUGUCCUUUCUCCCGAAGCUGGAGAGCAUAUGCAGCUGGACCGGACUUCGGGAUCUCAUACAUGUCAUUAAGAUAAAGAGAUGUCCAAAGCUGAAGGGGAUUGAAAUGCUAGAUGAUGCUUCUCCUCCCCCUGCUCUUAAGGAGAUGGUAUUAUUCGGAGAAGUAGGAAAACAAUGGUGGGAAUCUCUGGAGUGGGUCCACCCUGAGGCCAAGACCACCCUUGAACCCUAUGUGUUUGUUUAUUUGUUUCCCCGAUUGCGAGAAUACCAGUCGUAAUCGUCAGCAGGAUUAGGGAGGGAGGGCUGGACCCAAACUGUGCUCAGGAGAAGUAACGAUACCCGUCAAGGGAGGUGGAUUCAUUCAAAUGGAACAAUGGACAGCAGAGCAUCAUCAGAUGGCCUAUUAAGCUUGCUGUUGCUGUGAGAGAUUUUCGGAUCAUGGAUAGAUUAAAAGACGAGGAAGUUGGAGAUAGCGAUGAGGAGAUUCUGAACCAUUUGCUCUGCAGAUAUAGUGCAUAUUUUUAUGAAGACCUUGAAACAUAUGUCGACUGUUUGCCUGCUCUGUUAAGUACCGUAACACUCAGAGUAUUCUCCAGAUACGUCGGCUAUCGGGAGGUGUUACUUACAUAUGUGCCCGCAAUCUCAGUGUGCAGAGUGUGUAGAAUUCUGUUAAAUCAAUCCAUUGUCCUUGGCCAACCUCACGCUCGUCUCUAUGAAUCAAUUUCAUUUCUCCAUUCGAA
Non-coding RNA from Punica granatum (pomegranate), 1432 nucleotides. Lineage: Eukaryota; Viridiplantae; Streptophyta; Magnoliopsida; Myrtales; Lythraceae. The record is from RefSeq and is a predicted model, not a curated record.